GAAUGCUUGAUUAUUGAUUGUUGAAAAUUAAUUAAAAUUUGAAAUUUGUAUUAUAAUUUAUAUAAAUUUUGUAUUAUAUUAGAUGUAUAAUCUUGCACCUUGGUUAUUCUGAUCUCAGAUUAUUUGAUUAUUGAUUGGUAAUGAGAAUUAAUUAAAAUUUGAAAUUUGUAUUAUUAUUAGAUAUAUAAUUUUGCAUUUUAUUCUGAUUCCAGAUUGCUGACAUUUUUAUAUUUCUUAUGAAUGAUUACUUGAUUAUUGAUUGUUGAAAAUUAAUUGAAAUUUGAAAUUUGUAUUAUUAUUAGAUAUAUAAUCUUGCACCUUGGUUAUUCUGAUCUCAGAUUACUUGAUUAUUGAUUGAUUGCUGACAUUUUUAUAUUUCUUAUGAAUGAUUGCUUGAUGGUUGAAAAUUAAUUAUAAAAUGUAUAAUCUUGUAUCUUGGUUAUUCUGAUUGGAGAUUGCUGGAUUAUUGAUUGGUAAUGAGAAUUAAUUAAAAUUUGAAAUUUGUAUUAUUAUUAGAUAUAAUUAGAUAUAAUUUUGUAUCUUAUUCUGGUUCCAGAUUGCUGACAUUUUUAUAUUUCUUAUGAAUGAUUGCUUGAUUAUUGAUUAUUGAUAUUGAUGGUGUUGAGAAUUAAAAUUUGAAAUUGGUAUUAUUUUGUACGAUGAAGAUAGAUUUAGUAUUAUUAUAUCUAUAUAGAAAAGUUUUAUUUAAAUAUUGUUUUGUUAUAUUGAUAUUUUUCUAUUUUUUCUUUUUAAUAUUACACUUGAAAUAUAAUUAUAAGAAAUAAUUAAUUGAACAUGUUAUAAUAAUAUCUAUAUUGAAACCAAUUCAAAUAUUUUCCACAUAACAAAAGUAGCCUAAUCCUGUAUGUACAUAACCUAUAUAAUGUUUCAAUAGGAUAUAUUUGACAGGAAUAUAUUUACACGUGUAUAUCUAUAAUCAAAAUACGUUCCAUACAACCUGUUUCAACAACAAAAUCGUUUCAUCCAGAUUAGCAUGAGCUAAGGAUGACGUUCUUCAUAAAUACCGUAAACAGUGCGAUAGUUUUCUAGAAGGAAAACAUCUUUCCAACGAGAGGCGAAGAGGGAAAGCUUGGAGGCACGUAACAGACGGGAGGGCGAGGCGGACAAAAGAAGAUUAGGGAGAUGGGUGGAAGGUUAGAUGUUCAGCCUUUACGACGUCUAACAUGGAGGAUUUAGUCGGCAAUGUUACGAAAAUCCUCUCUCUUCGAUAAGAGCAUUUUCCAAGCACGAUGACGUCGACGUGCCAUGAAAAAACGAAAUAAGAAUCCCCAUCUAGAAAAUCCGAGCCAAAACGAAGAGACAAAUGCGAAUAGUAAUCACCCUCCAGACGGUCCAAUAUCCGCUCGGCUUCCCCUUUUACACAGGGACAACAAUUAGAAAGGAAGGAAGUGAAAGGUUCUUCUUGAGACACGGAAACUUCGUCCUUGGAAAUGGCAUUCGCUGUUAAUUACCAAAAUUUCGUGUAAGAAGCAAGGUCUGAGUGGAGAAGAAGGAUAAAGUUUGUCGAAUAUUUGAUAAUCCUCGAUGAGUUCGAGGGACUAUUAAAAUUCGAUUUAAACUUGGCUGGUUUUUAAAAGUGCUUGAACCAAUAAUGGAAAGGGAAUCGUUUAUUGAAUUUGUAGGAAAUGUGAUACGUUCGUGAAUAUUUCUAGAAUAUGUAUUUGUGCGAUGAAAAAAAAAAAUCAAAUAUUGUAUGAUUAUUUUUUCAUAAAAAAUAUUUGCUUUUAAUUUUAAAUUUAUAUAUGCGAAAUAUAUAUCUUCCGUUUAAAAAUUAAUUUUUAAAUUCUUACUCAUCGAUAUUGUGAUGAUUUUCUUUAAUUUAUUUCAAAUUUCUUGCUCCAAAAUUGUAAGAAACAUUAAAUAUCUACCGAGA
Molecule: long non-coding RNA, 1894 nt
Organism: Apis cerana (Asiatic honeybee)
Lineage: Eukaryota; Metazoa; Arthropoda; Insecta; Hymenoptera; Apidae
Source: RefSeq, a predicted model, not a curated record